This 187-nucleotide ribosomal RNA is filed under the name Obelia bidentata. Its description in RNAcentral is "partial large subunit ribosomal RNA". It matches the Rfam family "Bacterial large subunit ribosomal RNA", at positions 2422 to 2608 of the family's 2925-position model. The record is from RNAcentral. Lineage: Eukaryota; Metazoa; Cnidaria; Hydrozoa; Leptothecata; Obeliidae.
UUUUACUUUAAAACUAAGAACAAACGAUCAGUUAAUUAAAGCUACCUUAGGGAUAACAGGAUAAUUUCAUUUUAGAGUUCAAAUCGAAAAUGAAGUUUGUCACCUCUAUGUUGAAUUAAGAUAUCCUGGUAAUGCAGAAGUUACCAAAGGUAGGUCUGUUCGACCUUUAAAAUCUUACAUGAUUUGA